CCCAGACAGCCAGGAUGUUGGCUUAGAAGCAGCCAUCAUUUAAAGAAAGCGUAAUAGCUCACUGGUCGAGUCGGCCUGCGCGGAAGAUGUAACGGGGCUAAACCAUGCACCGAAGCUGCGGCAGCGAACGUAUCACUUAAAGCGAUUCAGCGGGUUACGAUUGACGGAGCGAAGCGACGUCAAAGCGUAUACAAAGUCGAGUCGGUUUAAGGAUACGUUCGUUGGGUAGGGGAGCGUUCUGUAAGCCCGUGAAGGUGGCCUGUGAGGGUUGCUGGAGGUAUCAGAAGUGCGAAUGCUGACAUAAGUAACGAUAAAGCGGGUGAAAAGCCCGCUCGCCGGAAGACCAAGGGUUCCUGUCCAACGUUAAUCGGGGCAGGGUGAGUCGACCCCUAAGGCGAGGCCGAAAGGCGUAGUCGAUGGGAAACGGGUUAAUAUUCCCGUACUUGGUGUUACUGCGAAGGGGGGACGGAGAAGGCUAUGUUGGCCGGGCGACGGUUGUCCCGGUUUAAGCGUGUAGGUGUGUGUUCCAGGUAAAUCCGGUUCACUUUAACACUGAGGCGUGACGACGAGGCACUACGGUGCUGAAGCAACAAAUGCCCUGCUUCCAGGAAAAGCCUCUAAGCAUCAGGUAACACGAAAUCGUACCCCAAACCGACACAGGUGGUCAGGUAGAGAAUACCAAGGCGCUUGAGAGAACUCGGGUGAAGGAACUAGGCAAAAUGGUGCCGUAACUUCGGGAGAAGGCACGCUGACACGUAGGUGAAGUGAUUUACUCAUGGAGCUGAAGUCAGUCGAAGAUACCAGCUGGCUGCAACUGUUUAUUAAAAACACAGCACUGUGCAAACACGAAAGUGGACGUAUACGGUGUGACGCCUGCCCGGUGCCGGAAGGUUAAUUGAUGGGGUCAGCGUAAGCGAAGCUCCUGAUCGAAGCCCCGGUAAACGGCGGCCGUAACUAUAACGGUCCUAAGGUAGCGAAAUUCCUUGUCGGGUAAGUUCCGACCUGCACGAAUGGCGUAAUGAUGGCCAGGCUGUCUCCACCCGAGACUCAGUGAAAUUGAACUC
Molecule: ribosomal RNA, 1064 nt
Filed under: Salmonella enterica subsp. enterica serovar 1,4,[5],12:i:-
Lineage: Bacteria; Pseudomonadati; Pseudomonadota; Gammaproteobacteria; Enterobacterales; Enterobacteriaceae
Description: partial 23S ribosomal RNA
Rfam family: Bacterial large subunit ribosomal RNA
Source: RNAcentral